GACGAACGCUGGCGGCGUGCUUAACACAUGCAAGUCGAGCGGUAAGGCCCUUUCGGGGGUACGACGAGCGGCGAACGGGUGAGUAACACGUAAGUAAUCUACCUUCGAGUGGGGAAGUAACGUCCGGAAACGGACGCUAAUACCGCAUAAUGCAGCGGCAUCGCAAGAUGACAGUUGUUAAAGAUUUAUCGCUUGAAGAGGAGCUUGCGGCAGAUUAGCUAGUUGGUAAGGUAAUGGCACCUAAGGCUACGAUCUGUAACCGGUCUAAGAGGACGGUCGGUCACACUGACACUGAAUAACGGGUC
Molecule: ribosomal RNA, 305 nt
Filed under: uncultured bacterium
Lineage: Bacteria
Description: bacterial SSU rRNA
Rfam family: Bacterial small subunit ribosomal RNA
Source: RNAcentral